This 352-nucleotide ribosomal RNA is filed under the name uncultured bacterium. RNAcentral describes it as "bacterial SSU rRNA". It matches the Rfam family "Bacterial small subunit ribosomal RNA", at positions 29 to 369 of the family's 1533-position model. The record is from RNAcentral.
AACGAACGCUGGCGGCGCGCCUAAUACAUGCAAGUCGAGCGAGAAGACGUAGCAAUACGUUUGUAAAGCGGCGAACGGGUGAGGAAUACAUGGGUAACCUACCCUCGAGUGGGGAAUAACUAGCCGAAAGGUUAGCUAAUACCGCGUACGCUCCUUGGACUUCGGUUCAGGGAGGGAAAGCGAUACCGUGGGUAUCGCGCUCUUGGAUGGGCUCAUGUCCUAUCAGCUUGUUGGNGAGGUAACGGCUCACCAAGGCUUCGACGGGUAGCUGGUCUGAGAGGACGAUCAGCCACACUGGCACUGGCGACACGGGCCAGACUCCUACGGGAGGCAGCAGUAAGGAAUAUUGCGC